RNAcentral lists this ribosomal RNA (253 nucleotides) under uncultured bacterium. RNAcentral describes it as "partial 16S ribosomal RNA". It matches the Rfam family "Bacterial small subunit ribosomal RNA", at positions 524 to 776 of the family's 1533-position model. The record is from RNAcentral.
UACGGGGGGGGGCGAGCGUUGUUCGGAAUUACUGGGCGUAAAGGGUUUGUAGGUGGUCUGCUAAGUCAGACGUGAAAUCCCUCAGCUUAACUGGGGAACUGCGUCUGAUACUGGCGGACUUGAGGACAGGAGAGGAACGCGGAAUUCCAGGUGUAGCGGUGAAAUGCGUAGAUAUCUGGAGGAACACCGGUGGCGAAGGCGGCGUUCUGGACUGUUUCUGACACUGAAAACGAAAGCCAGGGGAGCAAACGGG